This 200-nucleotide ribosomal RNA is filed under the name uncultured bacterium. Its description in RNAcentral is "partial 16S ribosomal RNA". It matches the Rfam family "Bacterial small subunit ribosomal RNA", at positions 29 to 224 of the family's 1533-position model. The record is from RNAcentral.
AGUGAACGCUGGCGGUAGGCCUAACACACGCAAGUCGAACGGCAGCACAGGAGAGCUUGCUCUCUGGGUGGCGAGUGGCGGACGGGUGAGGAAUACAUCGGAAUCUACCUUUUCGUGGGGGAUAACGUAGGGAAACUUACGCUAAUACCGUAUAAGACCUUCGGGUGAAAGCCGGGGACCUUCGGGCCUGGCGCGGAUAG